CUGCUAGAAACACAUGGUGAUAUGAAUGUGAAAGCGUUGCUCACUAUACAGGAAAGAAACUAGCUGACCUCCAGUUACCACUUUUGAAAACUUUCACAGAAAUACCAACAACAAUACAGAUGCUGUCUUUACUGUUCUGUUGACGUCAUGGGGAGCUUUUCUCUCCUGAGAAAUGAAGAAUCCAAUCUAUACUUUGAUGAAAAACUGCAAGAAUGUCUCAUGUCUGAAAGCCUUGUGUCUAGGGAGACAAUAAUGAAAAGGCCUUCAUGUCAGACUGUGCAUUACAUCUAGCUGGUGGAAAAAUCCUUGCGAGCACGAACCAGGCAUUAAAUAUUAAAAAGAAUGCUGUGGUUGAUUUUUAUGUGUCUGUCAUUCUGUCUAUCAAUUCCUUACGAUGCAUCCAAACAUUAUUACAAGAGCUGGUAUCAAGAACAUCUCCAAGUUUAGAGUUUUUUCCUUGAUGUGCACUUACAGGAUGUCCAGAUAGCUGAAGCUGAUGAGAUUGUCCCAAGUGCAUAGUGAAUAUGACUCAAAAACAAAUCAAUAGAUAGUUUAUGUAUGUCAUUUUUCAAAAUCAUACAUUGUGAUGACUAUAAAUGUAACUUAAAAACUCCAUCAGUGCUAGGGUGAACAUACGUCCUCUUUUCCUGGCUGGGAUUUCUAAAUUGCCUAAAAUGUCCAGGUUUUGGCUUUGUUUUCCUAUUGGUAUAUUAUCAUACAUUAUAUGUAUAUGUAUUUGCAUUGCUUUGAUGUUCUCUGUAGAUCCUGCCUUCUUGCACGCCACGAUUGGCCGAUUUUAUACAACGCCUGCAUGCUAUUGGUCAAAGUACUUUUCAGUCAUUACCUUCAGCAAGUAUGAAAACAAUAGGAAAACAAAGCCAAAACCCAGACAUUUUAUGCAAUUUAUAAACACGUCUGGGAAAAAGAGGACGCAUGGUCACCCUAAUGAACAAAAAGGAACAAAACAGACAUGCCUUUAACCAAAAUGCCAAAAACAACAAAACAAAACAGUGCAUGUAUUUACAUAUGAAUUGACACUGCAGUAAAAAUUGCAGCCAGAGUUCUGAAUUUCAGCCAAAAGCUGAUCAAGACUUCUUCAUCGGUUCCCCAGGAAGUAGGUCGGGUUGGUUUUGAGAGGUCUGAACAGGUGCGAAUCCUCCAUCCACAGUCCAAACAAACUCUCUGGCAAAAGAGAGACGCCUACCUGUGAUUUCUGGCUUUCGUGCAGGCGUUCGGGAUCUCCGAGCAGGCUCUCUAAAAGUGUGUCUCGUGGUUUGUUUGAGCGGUUUGUGGAGGCCCUAUUGGCAGCAUGGAGGAAUAUGGAGGAUGAGGGGUUGGAGGUGAGGAAAUCUAGACCUGCGUCGAGUAGGAGCGGUGCAGAGCGGUGGAGCGUCCCACGGAGUGGGCGGCGCAGUGGCACGCGUGCUGGGACGGCUGGUCUAGACUUCGCUGGUAAUGGAGCGAGACGGUACAAGGACAUCGGGGGGGACGGGGAACCGAUGAGGCUGAUGGUCAUGUGAUCUCAGUGAAUGGAGAUCCCCUUGGAGUCUGUAUGGGGGGAGAGAGAGAGAGUGUGAGGGGAGAGAGAGAGAGAGAAAGGAUGAGAAACCAAGACUGGAAGGUGGAAACUGUGUUCGGAUAGAAUAAAAUUAGUGAUGCACCAAAAUUAAUUAUUUAACUAC
Long non-coding RNA from Sinocyclocheilus anshuiensis, 1682 nucleotides. Lineage: Eukaryota; Metazoa; Chordata; Actinopteri; Cypriniformes; Cyprinidae. The record is from Ensembl.